Molecule: unclassified non-coding RNA, 412 nt
Filed under: soil metagenome
Description: partial contains 5.8S ribosomal RNA, internal transcribed spacer 2, and large subunit ribosomal RNA
Rfam family: 5.8S ribosomal RNA (bases 1-122)
Source: RNAcentral
GAUGAAGAACGUAGCGAAAUGCGAUACUUGGUGUGAAUUGCAGAAUCCCGUGAACCAUCGAGUCUUUGAACGCAAGUUGCGCGCGAAGCCGUCAGGCCGAGGGCACGCCUGCCUGGGCGUCACACGCCGUUGCCCCCCCGCGCCCCGCACCCAACGCUUUGGGAGCGACCGCGGGGCGGGCUGAUGAUGGCCUCCCGUGCGCUCCGCCGCGCGGUUGGCCCAAAUACCGAGUCCCCGGCGACGUGCGCCACGACGAUCGGUGGUUGAGAGACCUCUGUCGCAAGUCGUGCGCGCCCGUCGCGUCACGCGGGCUCGCAUAGCGCCUCGCGCCGCACCCGGUGCGGAGCUUUCAACGCGACCCCAGGUCAGGCGGGGUUACCCGCUGAAUUUAAGCAUAUCAAUAAGCGGAGGA